This 162-nucleotide microRNA precursor is filed under the name Gossypium hirsutum (cotton). Its description in RNAcentral is "MIR7502 microRNA precursor family". It matches the Rfam family "MIR7502 microRNA precursor family". The record is from Rfam by way of RNAcentral. Lineage: Eukaryota; Viridiplantae; Streptophyta; Magnoliopsida; Malvales; Malvaceae.
UAUUAAAAGUUUCAGCCAUUUGUAUUGUUAAAAAUUAGCGUGGCUAACAGAAUAAUCGGAUAAUUACGCAUCAUAAUUCUUAACAUUAGUAAUGGCUAACAGAAUAAUCAGAUAAUUACGCAUCAUAAUUUUUAACAUUAGUAAUGGAUGAAAUUUUUAACA